GUGCUCACUUUGUCAACAAUACAUACCAAAAUAGGAAUGAUGCAGAGAUUAGCAAGGGCCCUGUGUGAUGACAUACAAAUUCUUGAGACAUUACUUUUUUUU
RNAcentral lists this small nuclear RNA (102 nucleotides) under Peromyscus maniculatus bairdii (prairie deer mouse). Lineage: Eukaryota; Metazoa; Chordata; Mammalia; Rodentia; Cricetidae. The record is from RNAcentral.